CAACCUGCCCACCACUUGGGGAUAACCUUGCGAAAGUAAGACUAAUACCCAAUGAUAUCUCUAGAAGACAUCUGAAAGAGAUUAAAGAUUCAUCGGUGAUGGAUGGGGAUGCGUCUGAUUAGCUUGUUGGCGGGGUAACGGCCCACCAAGGCAACGAUCAGUAGGGGUUCUGAGAGGAANGUCCCCCACAUUGGGACUGAGACACGGUCCAAACUCCUACGGGAGGCAGCAGUGAGGAAUAUUGGUCAAUGGACGAGAGUCUGAACCAGCCAAGUAGCGUGCAGGAAGACGGCCCUAUGGGUUGUAAACUGCUUUUAUAAGGGAAUAAAGUGAGAGUCGUGACUCUUUUUGCAUGUACCUUAUGAAUAAGGACCGGCUAAUUCCGUGCCAGCAGCCGCGGUAAUACGGAAGGUCCGGGCGUUAUCCGGAUUUAUUGGGUUUAAAGGGAGCGUAGGCCGGAGAUUAAGCGUGUUGUGAAAUGUAGACGCUCAACGUCUGCACUGCAGCGCGAACUGGUUUCCUUGAGUACGCACAAAGUGGGCGGAAUUCGUGGUGUAGCGGUGAAAUGCUNANAUAUCACGAAGAACUCCGAUUG
This 595-nucleotide ribosomal RNA is filed under the name uncultured Bacteroidota bacterium. RNAcentral describes it as "bacterial SSU rRNA". It matches the Rfam family "Bacterial small subunit ribosomal RNA", at positions 122 to 715 of the family's 1533-position model. Lineage: Bacteria; Pseudomonadati; Bacteroidota. The record is from RNAcentral.